AGAGUUUGAUCCUGGCUCAGGAUGAACGCUAGCGGCAGGCCUAAUACAUACAAGUCGAACGGUGAUAGCAAUAUCAUAGUGGCGCACGGGUGCGUAACACGUAUGCAACCUACCUAUUAUUGGGGGAUAGCCUUUGGAAACGGUGAUUAAUACCGCAUAAUACGAUUGACUGGCAUCGGUUGAUUGUUAAAGCUUUGGCGAUAAUAGAUGGGCAUGCGUCCAAUUAGUUAGUUGGUUAGGUAACGGCUGACCAAGACGAUGAUUGGUAGGGGAUCUGAGAGGAUAAUCCCCCACACUGGCACUGAGAUACGGGCCAGACUCCUACGGGAGGCAGCAGUAGGGAAUAUUGGGCAAUGGGCGGAAGCCUGACCCAGCCAUGCCGCGUGCAGGAAGAAGGCGUUAUGCGUUGUAAACUGCUUUUUUAUAGGAAGAAGGAUCCCUUGCGAGGGAAGGUGACGGUACUAUAAGAAUAAGCACCGGCUAACUCCGUGCCAGCAGCCGCGGUAAUACGGAGGGUGCAAGCGUUGUCCGGAUUUAUUGGGUUUAAAGGGUGCGUAGGCGGUUUAUUAAGUCAGUGGUGAGAGACGGUCGCUCAACGAUUGCAGUGCCAUUGAUACUGGUAGACUUGAGUGA
This 633-nucleotide ribosomal RNA is filed under the name uncultured bacterium. RNAcentral's name for it is "bacterial SSU rRNA". It matches the Rfam family "Bacterial small subunit ribosomal RNA", at positions 8 to 649 of the family's 1533-position model. The record is from RNAcentral.